GAUGAACGCUAGCUACAGGCUUAACACAUGCAAGUCGCGGGGCAGCAUGGGGGUUGCUUGCAACCCCUGAUGGCGACCGGCGCACGGGUGAGUAACGCGUAUCCAACCUGCCCUUCACCACGGGAUAACCCGGCGAAAGUCGGACUAAUACCGUAUGUUGUCCAUUGACGGCAUCCGCUUUGGGCGAAAGGGUUGGCGGCGAGAGGAUGGGGAUGCGUCCGAUUAGCUUGAGGGCGGUGUAACGGCCCACCGUUGCUACGAUCGGUAGGGGUUCUGGGAGGAAGGUCCCCUACACUGGAGCUGAGGCACGGUCCAGAAUCCUACGGGAGGCAGCAGUGAGGAAUAUUGGUCAAUGGGCGUAAGCCUGAACCAGCCAAGUAGCGUGCAGGAUGACGGCCCUAUGGGUUGUAAACUGCUUUUAUGCGGGGAUAAAGUGGCCCACGUGUGGGCUUUUGCAGGUACCGAAUGAAUAAGGACCGGCUAAUUCCGUG
Molecule: ribosomal RNA, 491 nt
Filed under: uncultured bacterium
Lineage: Bacteria
Description: partial 16S ribosomal RNA
Rfam family: Bacterial small subunit ribosomal RNA
Source: RNAcentral